Molecule: non-coding RNA, 147 nt
Organism: Yersinia mollaretii ATCC 43969
Lineage: Bacteria; Pseudomonadati; Pseudomonadota; Gammaproteobacteria; Enterobacterales; Yersiniaceae
Source: Rfam
GAGAAACUGAAAAAUUAUGUUCUACUCAACCCGCCUACUCAGCCUACUACUAAACGCAUCUCACUUGCGCGGUAUGUUGGUGGACGGAAAUCAGAACUGAUUCAGUCAUCAAGAUUAACAAGCCCGCGCAAAUGCGCGGGUUUUUUU